CCGUAAACAAAGAAAUAAAUUAUAAAAAUAACAAUUUAUAGAUAAAAAGAAAAUAGUGAUUAAAUCAAUAAUAAAAUAGUGUACCAUAUAGUCUCAAUUUAGUCCUUAAAUCUAAGUCUAAAUCUAUUAACAUUUAAAAAUUAAUACAUACAUAAAUUAUGUUUAAUAGUUUUAAAAUUUUAUAAAAAAUUGAUUAUAGAAACUUAAAUUUAUUGAACAUAAAUAAUUACACAAGUAUAUAAACUAUUAAGUCUUGAGGAUCAAAAAUAUUGUUACUCUGGGAAUGACACAUUUUGAGAUCAUCUCAUAAAUUACUGAACUUAAAAAAAAAAACAAAUCUUAAGUAUCAGCUUUGAAGAGAGCCUUGAUCUACAAUAUUAUUUAUAUUUUUUCUAAUUCAAUACACUUUAUUUUCAUCACUGAUUCAAUUUGGGUCAAAUUCUAUAGAGAUAAUAGUUAUAAGUUGAGAUAUACUGAAUCAAAAGAAUAAUUGUGUCAUUUAACUUUAAAUUAUUAUUACUACUACAUUUAUUUAGAAUUAGAGAUCAAAAUACCAGGUAUAUUCAGUAAAAUAUUAUGAAAACCAACAAAUAGUAAAUACAUUCCUAAAAUAUUGAUGUUAAAAAAUAAUAUUUAAUUCCACAUUUUUGGAUAGGAACUUAGUAUUUAAUCAUUAAUUUAUUUUUAUUUUUUAUUUAUAUAUUUAUUUAAUAUACUCUUUUACAUUAUAUAUAAUAAUUUUUACUAUUUUUGAAUAUCUUAUACAAAUGUAUAUAAAAGAUGAAAUU
This is a non-coding RNA of Cinara cedri, 788 nucleotides long. NCBI's taxonomy places the organism in Eukaryota, Metazoa, Arthropoda, Insecta, Hemiptera, Aphididae. The record is from the annotation of a GenBank genome assembly.